GUGGCAUAGCUGCAGGUGAGGGCGUUGUAGACGCUGCAUGUGAUUCUUCUAAUCCGGGUUGUCGGAGGUUCGAAUCCUCCCGGGC
RNAcentral lists this transfer RNA (85 nucleotides) under Actinopolymorpha cephalotaxi. RNAcentral describes it as "tRNA-OTHER". The record is from RNAcentral. Lineage: Bacteria; Bacillati; Actinomycetota; Actinomycetes; Propionibacteriales; Actinopolymorphaceae.